UCCCUAAGCACUUCCGGUCUUCUACUCACUUCCUACAAAGAGUUCCCUGAACCAGGGCCUCCGCGGGAGCCAUGGCAGGGAAUACGAUCCUGCUGGCUGCUGUCUCUGUCCUUUCUGCUUGUCAGCAAAGUUAUUUUGCUUUUCGGGUCGGAAGGGCGAGAUUCAAAUACAAGGUGAAGCCCCCGGCAGUCACUGGGUCCCUGGAGUUUGAGAGAGUGUUCCGCGCACAACAAAACUGUGUGGAGUUUUAUCCCAUAUUCCUGAUUACACUGUGGAUGGCUGGAUGGUAUUUCAACCAAGUUGCUGCAGCUUGUCUGGGGCUGGUGUACAUGUACAGCCGUCAGAAGUACUUCUGGGGAUAUUCAGAAGCUGCUGAGAAAAGGGUCAGUGGUUUCCUGUUGAGCCUGGGGACUUUGGCGUUGUUGUGGGUCCUCAGCGCCCUGGGGAUAGCGAACAGCUUUCUGGACGAAUACCUGGACUUCCACGCUGCCAAGAAUCUGAGGCGAUACUUCUAACCUUUUCUCUUCCCUUCACUUUCAUGUUUGCGGAAGCUGUUUCCACUCAGAAGACAGGUAAACCGGCUCUCACCAGCCCGCGCCAGUGGAGGGCUGUGGCGCUGCGGACACCUUCCACUCUGGCGGUGGAUACAGGCAAAGCUGGCUGGGUCGUGGCUUUGAUCCAUGCAGUGUGGGCUGGGAGAGCUGAGGCACGCGAGGGAGUGGGGUGUUACUAACUGCCUCCACUGUAGGGCAAGACCUCUGCGUCACAGCCCUCCACGCUCCACCCUGACUUUUCCCCCAGAAAAAUCUCCUCCUCAUCUAGUUCCUGGAUCUCUGAAUGGGCCAGUUGGCAACUGAAUUGCUGUGGCCCUCAGUAUGUCCCCUGCAGAGUAACGGCCACACCUCUGAGUGCCCAGCAAAUUUAGAAAGUUUCAAUUUGCUUGAAUUAAAAGGGCUGAGAAUGACUGAUCUCCACGGCUACAAGUUUAAAUCCCGCCAUGAACGUUUUGAGAAAAGAACCACGAUGAUUCUGUUAAAUCCCAGGAACAAUAUAUCUGCUUAAUGAAUUUUGGAGACUAAAAUGAAGAUCCUGAAAUGAGGUACACCCUGGAUUGAUUCAGAUAAUGGUCUUUUAUUUUUUUUUUUCUUUAAAAGU
RNA transcript from Fukomys damarensis (Damara mole-rat), 1155 nucleotides. It is a transcript of the gene named microsomal glutathione S-transferase 2, with no coding region annotated. The transcript has 6 exons. Lineage: Eukaryota; Metazoa; Chordata; Mammalia; Rodentia; Bathyergidae. The record is from RefSeq and is a predicted model, not a curated record.